UGCCUUGGAGUCGGGGAAAACCGUUGGAAACGACGGCUAAUACCGGAUGUGGCGCCCGGCGACAUCGCCGGAGCGCUAAAGGGGGCCGCAAGGCUCUCGCUCCUAGAGGGGCUCGCGCACCAUCAGCUUGUUGGCGGGUAACGGCCCACCAAGGCCUACGGUUAGCUGGCCUGAGAGGAUGACCAGCCCCACUGGGACUGAGAUACUGCCCAGACUCCUACGGGAGGCUGCAGUCGAGGAUCAUUUGCAAUGGCGAAAGCCUGACAAUGCGACGCUGCGUGGGAAGGAUGAAGGCCUUCGGGUUGUAAACUCCUGUCAUGGGGGAACAGGCGAGGAUACCUAAUACGUAUCUUAGUUGAGUGUACCCAAGAGGAAUUGGCGGCUAACUCUGUGCCAGCCGCGGC
RNAcentral lists this ribosomal RNA (404 nucleotides) under uncultured bacterium. RNAcentral's name for it is "bacterial SSU rRNA". It matches the Rfam family "Bacterial small subunit ribosomal RNA", at positions 127 to 518 of the family's 1533-position model. The record is from RNAcentral.